Long non-coding RNA from Beta vulgaris subsp. vulgaris (sugar beet), 827 nucleotides. RefSeq lists it as uncharacterized. The transcript is spliced from 2 exons. NCBI's taxonomy places the organism in Eukaryota, Viridiplantae, Streptophyta, Magnoliopsida, Caryophyllales, Amaranthaceae. The record is from RefSeq and is a predicted model, not a curated record.
UUGUGUUGUUUUUUUAUCAGUUUUCUUCACCGAAUUCUGGCAUUAUUAUAUGUAGAGUUGGUCUACAAUGUAUCUACAUGCAUAAUAGUUUUGCACAUAACGACUAGGAAGACCAGAUCUCUUAAUACUCAUCAGAACUCAGGUGCAAAAGGAGAAGGGAGCGGGCGCUCCUUGUAAAAGAGGAGCGGGCGCUCCUCCAAACUCUUGUACAUGGCAGAACAAACCAGAAAGGUUGGCGCGAGGAGGGAGCUACCAAGGAGCUGGAGGUCCUAGCAUGAGGAGCAAAGGAGCGGGCGCUCUAAAGAAAAUAGGAGCGGGCGAUCCUUUAUGCAUUGAGGAUGGCAGAAGAGGGCAGAGACUUUGGAGCUACCAAGGAGCUCCCAUUGAGCAAGCGCUCCUUGGAGCACAUUUUACAAGGAGCGGGCGCUCCUUUAUAUUGAGGAGCGGGCGCUCCUCACCUGCUGGGCAGCCACCUUGUUGGCAGAAACUUUGGAGCGACCCAUGAGCUACCAAAGAGCUCCCGCUCCAUCGCCUCAUUUUGUUAGGAGCGGGCGCUCCUAUUGUACAAGGAGUGGGCGCUCCUUGUUAUUUUCGCGAUAUUUUUAUGUUAAACGCUGAUUUCAGCCUCGUUUUGUGGGGAUAUAAAUACCUUUUUCACUUAAUGACAAAUGAACUUUGAUUCCAGUAAAUCAUUUUUUAGAGAGUUCUUAGCUUAAUCUAGUGAGAGAAAGUGAAGUUCUAGAGAGAGAAAGUAGAUUUCCAUGGUUUUGUAGCUUGGACUAUGACAAAAAUCGUUGUUUUUAUGCAAGAUCUUCAUUUCUUCUUCA